GCAAACAAUUCAAACGCCUGUAUACAUUAAGGCCAAAAAUAGAUAUCUGAUUAGUGGCGGCUACGUCACCAGGUGGGGCUGUUCAGUUCGACCAUCGGCAGAGCUACCACAGAUUUAUGGGCGGGGUGUGUCUGCUUCAAUGUUCUCGGGUCUCAUAUAGACUAGCCAUAUAGCCAGAGCGCAGUGCGGCGCACUCCAACGAUCUCAGUCGGAUGUAGACAACAAUCGGCCGCAGAACAGAACACAUCAAAAGGUAGACAGUUUUUUGCUGGGGCAUGUACCUCGUGCAUCGACACUACCUACCUGUGGUACCUGAUCUCCAGAGAUUCCGGGCGACAUGUAGAUGACGGAAAGCAAGCAGCGGCGGUGCAAGUUUAGCAGUAGCAGGAAGAUUGUGGCAAGAAGGACAUUUGGCAGUUGUAAAAAACAAGUUUCCAAUCGUUAUGCAUUUUGCUUGGAUUUAUUUAUAGACGCGGUAUUGGUUUUAAGUAUUAAAUACAUGAGAGAUACAAUUAAACAACAAAAGAGUGUACGCGAGUGUUGGUUCUUAAUAACCAAAUGGAAACAAAUCAAUUAAACUUCAAAGUCAUCGUAAAGUGAUCGAACAUAAAAAACAUAUCGGGUAAACAUAAACAUGACAGAUAAGACUUAAAACAAAGGUCGCAUGAGUUUUUAUGAUUAAUUUUUUAGUAAAGCUUCUCGCCACAAAGGAAAACAUGUAACAAAGAGUAUUAAAAUUGGCGGCAAAAGCAGCAUUUACUUUCGAGAUUCGUUUGGAUUUUGUACACGAAAUGUAUGAUUGAUUGGUGACGAUCGAGAACGAAAGUGUGUGACAAAUAAUAGAGUAACGAAACGAAUUAGUAAAAAGCGGUAAUAAAAAAUGAAUAAUAAAAUCUCAUGCAACAUCACUACAAAAUAAAUAAAAUUCUAUUAAAUUAAAUUCAAUUAAAGUAAACAAUACAAUAAUCAUUUUAACAUCGUCUACUAUCGGAGUCAUCAUAGAUGGACUGCAGGACCGGAUCGUACGACUGUCUGUUCGAAGUUGCUGAGGGGACUACGGAAUCUUAACCAUUGCUUAAAAGCCGAAAUCUGCCUGGCAGCUAAAUAUAAACCUUCGGGCAACUAUGAAUCACAGAGGCCCGCGGCUUGAUGACUGAACAGCCGUAACUGAUUAAUCUAAUUAAAUUCUUUUCUGCACCAUAAACAGAAUCAUCAAUUCAUGUUCUUCUCUAAUGACCAAGAGGAUGAGUCGCCCGACUAACACCGGUAUAUUUCUCAUCUCUGCCUGAUACACCUUAUAGACAGCAGUAGCAACAACAAAAGGUAAUUUAUCAUUAUGUUUUCUUCUAGAACCUAGAAGCUAGUACCUAAACCAUCCACGUAUGCCUAAGCAAAUAUAUUUAUUCGGUUUCGGUGUUUUUUGUGUUUUAUUGAAAGAAAAUUGAAAUAAAUUUCAAGAUUUACUUGAGAAAAUA
Molecule: long non-coding RNA, 1475 nt
Organism: Drosophila santomea
Lineage: Eukaryota; Metazoa; Arthropoda; Insecta; Diptera; Drosophilidae
Exons: 2
Source: RefSeq, a predicted model, not a curated record